Molecule: long non-coding RNA, 3359 nt
Organism: Parus major (Great Tit)
Lineage: Eukaryota; Metazoa; Chordata; Aves; Passeriformes; Paridae
Exons: 3
Source: RefSeq, a predicted model, not a curated record
UUGAACUGCUGCCCCUGCGUAUCUGAGCACCACAGGGCUUUUUCCACAUUAAAAUGGAAGAUCUGUCUGCAGUGAUGUGAGCACAGCAGACAGGAGCAGAUACCUCUGUGGUCUACAACAAGGAAGUUUCGAAAUAAGGUCUCACCUGCAGACUUGUGAAGCCAGCAGAAAUGCACUGCAGGAAGGAUUCCAGUUUUAGAGUGCCUGAACCACCAGUGGAUGUUCCAGAGGUAUGGAUCUGGAACAACAAAAUAGAAACCUACAAAACUGUUACUGACAACUUUAUUCCAUGUACUCAAGAAAAGGAAACAUAUUCACCAACACAGUAGAAGAGGAUAUGCUGAGAAAAUCUGAGAAGAUUGUUUUCUUGUUAUUGAGUUGACCUUGUGCUUACCACAGUAAAAUUAGGCUCAAUACUUCAUCUUGCUCCUUCCAUGACUGCUUUUUUGUAAAAUGUCAAAACCCUCUCUACCUGAUCUGUAUGAGGAAAUUAAUGGUUCUUCCUACUGAUGUGUCUGCAAAAAACAUUGGGAGUGGCUGUCAACACCUUCUGUACAAAGCUGUCAGGGGUGCUGGCUAGAUGUGUAUCUGAAGGCUGUGACUGAAUGAACUUUGCUCAGUGCAGCUCCAGUGAUCAUGUAGUCUAAUAACAGCACUCUUUUACAGCAAAGUGCUGGGUUGUUUUUUUUUAAUAAGAGAUAAUAAAAUUACACUUAAUAAUAUGAUGCAGCAUAUGGAAUACAACUCUUGUUGCACUUAACAAAAUCUAAUUACUCCAGGAAGGGACGUUGAACUCGCUGAUUUCAGAACAUCUCAGAAAUUUACUUUUCAAAUACUAAAGAGUUUGAAAUCCAGCCUCUGACUUGGAUCAAUUCUUUUGUAUUGCUAAUAAGACCAGCUUUAUGAUGAUGUACUUGCAGGACCUCAGAUAAGCGUGACAAUGAACAAAGCAGACUUUGCAGCACUAAAAUGUCAGGCAGCUUGUUCGGCAGGUAUUUAUAUCUUCUGUCCUAGUAAAGGGAAAGGUGACAUUGUCUUUGAGAGGAUAAAAUUAGGUGCUAACUCCCCACAUUCUCUGAAAAGUUCUGCAACUGCACAUGCCAAUACCCUUUGAAGUAGAGUAGCAACAGCAAUACAGUGAAAAAGAAAAAGAAAAUAGAUAUCCAGACAUGGUUUGGACAAAAGUGUUUAGUAAGACAUACUGCCAAUGCCAAGAAUGUGGAGCUCUGGGAGACUGGGACAUUUUUUGUCAAUGGUGGGAAAGAGCUAAACCACUGUGGGUCUCAGGGAAAAAAGUUAUGUCAGGCCUUUGGGUCUCAAAAGUGCUUAAGAAAUCACUACUCCUGGUUUUUUUCCCCCUCUCUAGUACAUUCCCACCUUUUUUUUUUUCUAAGGUGACAGUUUUUAAGCCCACAUCCUUUCCUUACAGGUUAAAGAAAAAUUUCCCGUGCUUUAUUUAGCAUUUCCUUCCUCCUACCUCCUUCUAUGUACCUCCUUUACUUCCUUUACUCACAAUAAAGAAGUAAUAUUAUGGAGGUGUAAGAGGAUUUCUGGACUUAAUUCUAGCAGUGUUUUCAAAUCUCAUUCAUUGACAUAGUGCUUUCACAUUUAAGCACCUUGCUCAAGACAUUUGCAUAGAUACUGAAAAAGCUUAAUUCUCACUUUGGUUUAAAAGCAAGGCACCCAGUAAUGUAAAUAACAGACUGAAGAACGACGCCGGCCCAAAUAAAAAGAGAUUAAAGAUUCUAAAUAUUCUUUUGUUGACAAGAAGAACAUCUAAAAUAAUGACCUUUUUAAAACUGCUUUCUGAGGCUGAAUUUGGGUGAAGCUCUGUACAAUGUGGCCUAGCAGGAGGUGUCCUGGUCCAUGGCUGGGAUUUGGAACUCGAUAGUCUUUAAGGUCUCUUCCAACCCAGGCUAUUUAUUGAUUUCAUGAUCCCAUGACCUCAAGUAGAUGGAAACAUCUACUCUACAGGCUUCUUUCUCUUAUGAGCAGCAGCACUGAGAACAAAAUUAAAUUGCAAGUUGGAAGUUCAGGCUUCUCUCCAGGUUCCCAGCGCACCACAAGAUUUUGUUUUCUCUCGCAAAAAGUGCAAAAUAUAUUGAAGCAAGAGAGAUGAUAAACCUCCUGUCAGAACAGCUGGAGUCUCUGUACUAAAAAGGGUGGCUGCAUUCAACCUGCUUUUUGGGAGCAGUCCCAGCUCCUGCUGUCCCACCAGCUGUGUCCAGGCCUUGUCUAGAAGAGGGAUAGAAUCUGUGCCAAGGAGCAACCCAGCAAUUACCCAGUCCAAACCAGUUUAGUUUAAUAGUGUAAGUAUCACUGAAGUUUCCAGACAUACCUCAGCCAGUCCAAUGUGUUGCCUUCAAGCACACAAAAAUUGGAAAUACAUUGAGUGUUUUAUAAUUUCACCAACUGGAAAAUAAGAUUUCCAUCCCACAAAGCACUGGAGAUACUUCCCCCCAUCAGAAGCACGAGAACUGAGACAGGUCUAUGGAUAUUUCUUGUGCGAGUGCAAAGGAGACUGUAGUACAUGGUGACUAGUUUGGUUUGUGACCUGGCACAGUAGCCCAGCUAUGGGACCUCGCUAAGAUCCUGAUUGCACACUGGAACCACUGAAGAGUUAAAGAUCUUGUGAACUUUGUGCAAUAUUUGCCUAUGUUUCUCCCUGCUUACACCUGUCAUGAACAAAAUCUCUCAAGAAAUCCACCCCAGUUAAAACACUGUGUUUAAUUAUGUACAGUUAAUGUUCUUAUCCCAUUUGUGAACCUUGUACCCCUUGUUUACUCUGAUGGUUAUUAGUAAUGUUAAUUACUUAGCAGUUUCUGAAGUGUUUUAAGACUUGUUAUGAGACAUUCCUGUACCCUUUCCCUGACUUCCCUACCACGCUGUAACAAAAGCAACUCCUUAAGGGGCUAUGCCAUGGAACAAAGCAACUCCCAUGGGAGCUGUGCCACACUGGAACAAAACAACUCCCAGAGAGCUGUGCAACCGAAUAAUAUGUAAACUAAAGCAUGCAAGACACCAAAACAACGAGCUAACAGAGGAAUAAAAGGACAAGGAAACAUUCUAGCAAGCUAUGAUGAAAGAUCAUCUUCCUGCGUCACCUAAGCCUGCUCAGAAACCAUCUUCCUGCAUCACCAUGACCUAAAGAGGACUGGAAAGGACUGGCCACCCUAGACAAUGAGCCAGAAUAACAGGCCUCCUGGCUGCUCUCAUGAGGAUGGAAGCCCCAGCUCUGCAGUGUGUGCUGCAAAGCUGAAUUGUGCCUCCUCCUUGGAGCUGACAGUGUGGGAAUAGCUGUGGUGCCAGCAACUCCUCGGGCCCCCACCCCAAGAGCUGAAUUCUAAUAAAGGCAUAAA